This 75-nucleotide transfer RNA is filed under the name Candidatus Nealsonbacteria bacterium CG07_land_8_20_14_0_80_39_13. RNAcentral describes it as "tRNA-Arg". It matches the Rfam family "tRNA". From Rfam's summary of the family: Transfer RNA (tRNA) molecules are approximately 80 nucleotides in length. RNAcentral also lists the same sequence under 1 other name. Lineage: Bacteria; Candidatus Nealsoniibacteriota. The record is from RNAcentral.
GCCCUCAUGGUAUAAUGGACAGAACACAGGCCUCCGAAGCUUGAGAUGCAGGUUCGAUUCCUGCUGAGGGCACCA